GGACAGGUGGCCGAGUGGUUGAAGGCACCGCUCUCGAAAAGCGGCAAGGGUUCGCGCCCUUCGUGAGUUCGAAUCUCACCCUGUCCGCCA
This 90-nucleotide transfer RNA is filed under the name Alphaproteobacteria bacterium. Its description in RNAcentral is "tRNA-Ser". It matches the Rfam family "tRNA". Rfam says of the family: Transfer RNA (tRNA) molecules are approximately 80 nucleotides in length. Their secondary structure includes four short double-helical elements and three loops (D, anti-codon, and T loops). Lineage: Bacteria; Pseudomonadati; Pseudomonadota; Alphaproteobacteria. The record is from RNAcentral. RNAcentral also lists the same sequence under 1 other name.